This is a non-coding RNA of Ciona intestinalis (vase tunicate), 409 nucleotides long. Lineage: Eukaryota; Metazoa; Chordata; Ascidiacea; Phlebobranchia; Cionidae. The record is from RefSeq and is a predicted model, not a curated record.
UUUAUAUAUGUAUUCUAUUUGAAUAAGGUACUGAAUAAGUAGUCAUGCCAACUGCUGCAACUUAUAUAUAUCGUCGCAUACGAAUUAACAAUGAAGAUAUAAUCAGAUACUGUUCGAGUCAUUGCAACACAGAUUUAACACUGGCCGAGUCGUCCUUGUAAUCGAGGCUAGAUAUUCCAAAAGGACAAUUGGGAUUAGACCCUACGAGACUAGGGAUAGCGUUCAACCUACUGCGUCUAGAGACUCGCACGCCGUGACGAUCGAAGCAUCGCAAUCCGAGCGACACCUACUGAGGAACAACCUCAAGCGCUCAACUUAACCAACUAACUGCUUCAAUAGUAUAAUGGUGUAAAGUAAGCAGCAAUCCCACAAUCAAGCAAUCACUGCGAGCGAAAGAAGUGCACGAACG